UACGGGGGGGGCAAGCGUUGUUCGGAAUUACUGGGCGUAAAGGGUUUGUAGGUGGCUUGUUAAGUCAGACGUGAAAUCCCUCAGCUUAACUGGGGAACUGCGUCUGAUACUGGCGAGCUUGAGUGCAGGAGAGGAACGCGGAAUUCCAGGUGUAGCGGUGAAAUGCGUAGAUAUCUGGAGGAACACCGGUGGCGAAGGCGGCGUUCUGGACUGUUUCUGACACUGAAAAACGAAAGCCAGGGGAGCAAACGGG
Molecule: ribosomal RNA, 253 nt
Filed under: uncultured bacterium
Lineage: Bacteria
Description: partial 16S ribosomal RNA
Rfam family: Bacterial small subunit ribosomal RNA
Source: RNAcentral